AAUGCAGUCGAGCGGAAGAAGGGAGCUUGCUCCCGGAUGUUAGCGGCGGACGGGUGAGUAACACGUGGGUAACCUGCCUGUAAGACUGGGAUAACUCCGGGAAACCGGAGCUAAUACCGGAUAGUUCCUUGAACCGCAUGGUUCAAGGAUGAAAGACGGUUUCGGCUGUCACUUACAGAUGGACCCGCGGCGCAUUAGCUAGUUGGUGAGGUAACGGCUCACCAAGGCGACGAUGCGUAGCCGACCUGAGAGGGUGAUCGGCCACACUGGGACUGAGACACGGCCCAGACUCCUACGGGAGGCAGCAGUAGGGAAUCUUCCGCAAUGGACGAAAGUCUGACGGAGCAACGCCGCGUGAGUGAUGAAGGUUUUCGGAUCGUAAAGCUCUGUUGUUAGGGAAGAACAAGUGCAAGAGUAACUGCUUGCACCUUGACGGUACCUAACCAGAAAGCCACGGCUAACUACGUGCCAGCAGCCGCGGUAAUACGUAGGUGGCAAGCGUUGUCCGGAAUUAUUGGGCGUAAAGGGCUCGCAGGCGGUUUCUUAAGUCUGAUGUGAAAGCCCCCGGCUCAACCNNGGAGGGCCAUUGGC
Molecule: ribosomal RNA, 591 nt
Filed under: Bacillus altitudinis
Lineage: Bacteria; Bacillati; Bacillota; Bacilli; Caryophanales; Bacillaceae
Description: bacterial SSU rRNA
Rfam family: Bacterial small subunit ribosomal RNA
Source: RNAcentral